ACUCUACUAGGAUGAUGCACCAGAAAAGGUCA
This 32-nucleotide transfer RNA is filed under the name Semiarundinaria densiflora. Its description in RNAcentral is "partial tRNA-Phe". Lineage: Eukaryota; Viridiplantae; Streptophyta; Magnoliopsida; Poales; Poaceae. The record is from RNAcentral.